RNAcentral lists this transfer RNA (87 nucleotides) under Candidatus Tectimicrobiota bacterium. RNAcentral's name for it is "tRNA-Leu". It matches the Rfam family "tRNA". From Rfam's summary of the family: Transfer RNA (tRNA) molecules are approximately 80 nucleotides in length. Their secondary structure includes four short double-helical elements and three loops (D, anti-codon, and T loops). Lineage: Bacteria; Pseudomonadati; Candidatus Tectimicrobiota. The record is from RNAcentral.
GCCGGGGUGGCGGAAUUGGUAGACGCACGGGACUUAAAAUCCCGGGCCUGAAAGGGCAUGCGGGUUCGACUCCCGCCCUCGGCACCA